Molecule: ribosomal RNA, 487 nt
Filed under: uncultured bacterium
Lineage: Bacteria
Description: bacterial SSU rRNA
Rfam family: Bacterial small subunit ribosomal RNA
Source: RNAcentral
AUUGAACGCUGGCGGCAUGCCUUACACAUGCAAGUCGAACGGUAACGGGCCGUUCGGGUGCCGACGAGUGGCGGAACGGGUGAGUAAUGUAUCGGAACGUUACCUUUCAGGUGGGGGAUAACGUAGCGAAAGUUACGCUAAUACCGCAUAUUCUGUGAGCAGGAAAGCAGGGGAUCGCAAGACCUUGCGCUGAUUGAGCGGCCGAUAUCAGAUUAGCUAGUUGGUGAGGUAAAGGCUCACCAAGGCGACGAUCUGUAGCGGGUCUGAGAGGAUGAUCCGCCACACUGGAACUGAGACACGGUCCAGACUCCUACGGGAGGCAGCAGUGGGGAAUAUUGGACAAUGGGCGAAAGCCUGAUCCAGCCACGCCGCGUGAGUGAUGAAGGUUUUCGGACUGUAAAGCUCUGUUGUUUAGGACGAAAGUGCCUGUUGCAAAUAGUUGCAGGUAUUGACGGUACUGAACGAGGAAGCCACGGCUAACUUCGUG